Molecule: long non-coding RNA, 3357 nt
Organism: Scophthalmus maximus (turbot)
Lineage: Eukaryota; Metazoa; Chordata; Actinopteri; Pleuronectiformes; Scophthalmidae
Source: Ensembl
CAGGGACCAGAGUCGUGAGGGGGCGCAGGUCUGUACAUUCACCUGCUGUGUGUCUGUCGGGGGCGGCUCCAGCCUGGGGGAGACUCCUCAGUGUCAGGCUGCCAGCCCCCCCCCCUCUCUGAGGCGUCACCUUGCCACUGCCAGGCCUCUGCUGCAGGGGACAGCAGAGCCCCUGCACUAUGAAGGAAUCAAAUCGUUAUACAACUCAUCUAAUCAGAUUUACCACCACAAACAGGAGUUUAUGACCAGGAUUGGAGGCCACAACUCAACUAACAUCACAUGACGUGACCCCAAAUGACAACAGAAGAGAAGAAUCAAACAUGACAGGAAGUGAAACGACACGGGGCAAUGACAUGUCACAAAAAGAACAAGUGACACAAACUGAAGCAGACACGAGGUGAAGUGUCACGCAGCAAAAUCUCUCUACAUGAUAUUAAAUCACUCAAGACAUGAAAUACAAACAUCACAAGUGACAUCACAAGUGACAUCACGGCACAAUAUUUGCCAUGUGUCAUCUGAUGUGGUCUUCACCUCGCAGGCCCGGAGGCUCCGAGGCUCUGGAGGAGAGCCGGGUGUCGGCCGGGGGCCGAGGUCCUGGUGGAAGCAGAGUGAAGUCUGUGCUCUCAGGAAACUUCCUCCUGUGCUUUGUGUGGACGCACACGCUGUCACCUGCAGCUCCGUGUGUCCUCCUGUCUGGGUGUGUCCUACUGUCCGUCACCUCACGUCCUACACAGUCACCUGCAGCUCGGUGUGUCCUCCUGUCCGUCACCUCACGUCCAACACAGUCACCUGCAGCUCCGUGUGUCCUCCUAUCCGUCACCUCCACGUCCAACACAGUCACCUGCAGCUCCGUGUGUACUCCUAUCCGUCACCUCACGUCCAACACAGUCACCUGCAGCUCCGUGUGUCCUCCUGUCCGUCACCUCACGUCCAACACAGUCACCUGCAGCUCUGUGUCCUCCUGUCCAUCACCUCACGUCCUACACAGUCACCUGCAGCUCCGUGUGUCCUCCUGUCCGUCACCUCACGUCCAACACAGUCACCUGCAGCUCCGUGUGUCCUCCUGUCCGUCACCUCACGUCCUACACAGUCACCUGCAGCUCCGUGUGUCCUCCUGUCUGGGUGUGUCCUCCUGUCUGGGUGUGUCCUACUGUCCGUCACCUCACGCCCUACACAGUCACCUGCAGCUCGGUGUGUCCUCCUGUCCGUCACCUCACGUCCAACACAGUCACCUGCAGCUCGGUGUGUCCUCCUGUCCGUCACCUCGUCCCAACACAGUCACCUGCAGCUCGGGUGUGUCCUCCUGUCCGUCACCUCACGUCCAACACAGUCACCUGCAGCUCCGUGUGUCCUCCUGUCCGUCACCUCACGUCCAACACAGUCACCUGCAGCUCUGUGUCCUCCUGUCCGUCACCUCACGUCCUACACAGUCACCUGCAGCUCGGUGUGUCCUCCUGUCCGUCAUCUCACGUCCAACACAGUCACCUGCAGCUCCGUGUGUCCUCCUGUCCGUCACCUCACGUCCAACACAGUCACCUGCAGCUCCGUGUGUCCUCCUGUCCGUCACCUCACGUCCUACACAGUCACCUGCAGCUCCGUGUGUCCUCCUGUCCGUCACCUCACGUCCUACACAGUCACCUGCAGCUCCGUGUGUCCUCCUGUCCGUCACCUCACGUCCAACACAGUCACCUGCAGCUCCGUGUGUCCUCCUGUCCGUCACCUGCAGGGAGAUGGUCCACCACACCAGUCACAUUGUGCUGUAUGUGAGUUUUGGUCCCCCCCGCACCCAGAGCUUCAGACGCACUGGGCGGAGCUACGACGGAUCCUCGCUGGACUUACAAGUUAGACGGGAACAUUGAGUUAUUGUAGCACCACAGUUCAACAGGACAGUUGAAAUGUGCCUGAAUGUCCACUGUUGGCCGUGGGUGUAAUGCACCUUGUCGCCUCAUGGUGGCGGGAACAGGUCUUCAGUCCUGACAUUAAACAGAGGGCAGGCAGUUUGGAGCUGAUUCAAUACGAAGGGUUCUGUUUGGCACAUUAGAACGUCAGUCUCUUCUGCAGGAGGGGAACAGAAAGCAUGUGUGUGGUCUGUAGGGACAGUGUUUCACAUGACCUCUCACCUUCUGAGGGUUUUCUACCUGAUAGCAACAGGAACCGUUCAGGCAGCUGGAUGUGGAGCCGUUGGGAGGGAGAGGGAUGAGAUGGCAUCACAUUCUCGUUCUCAAACCAUCAAUCUGCUUAUUUCUGUAACCACAGACUUUCCCUCAUCCAUCGCUCCUCCUCCUCUCACCCCUCCAGCCUCCCUUACCCGAUGAGUUCCUCUUUACUUCAGCUCCUCUCUCCCACUCAUCCAUUAGCUGCUGUCGAGACUCAGAUCCCCUGAAUGUCCCAACAAUGUCCAGAACAUUCAUGAAGCAGUGAUGUCAAAUAGUAAUGGCUGUAAAGAAUGGAAGAAAGUAUGGCUAUGCAUGAAAAUACAGAGCAAACGUAUCCAUGGUAACACAGAUGAACAGCAACUUCCAGUGUUCACACCCUGACAGUUUACAUGGGUGGACACGGCGAGGGAGAGGAGACGCGAUUCCCCUUGUUUCCAUGAGUAUUGUGGAGUUACAGGCAGUAACAGUGAGUCAUCCACUGGACGGAUGGACACUCCUUUGUUCAAUCGCAGGAUACUUGGUAACACUUUGCUUGUUAUAAUGCUUAAAACAACUGUGCCUCUCAGCAUCUUAACACAAUCACAAUGUCAAUGUUGAAGUAAAUGUUUGACAUUUGGGGAUAUAUAUGGACAUAUGUGCAUUCACCCUGUGAUAAGUUAAACUGAGCUCGGUGUGUACUGUGUGUACCGUGUGUACCGUGUGUGCCGUGUGUACCGUGUGUGCCGUGUGUGCCGUGUGUGCCGUGUGUGCUGUGUGUGCUGUGUGUGUUGAGUAUACCGUGUGUACUGUGUGUACUGUGUAUACCGUGUGUACUGUGUGUACUGUGUGUGCUGUGUGUGCUGAGUAUACCGUGUGUACUGUGUGUGCUGUGUGUACCUUGUGUACUGUGUGUACUGUGUAUACCGUGUGUACUGUGUGCUGUGUGUGCUGUGUGUGCUGAGUAUACCGUGUGUACUGUGUGUGUUGAGUAUACCGUGUGUACUGUGUGUACUGUGUAUACCGUGUGUACUGUGUGGCCUCCACUGUAUGAGAGUUGUUCAUCUCAAUCUGAACAAGGUCAUAUGUGAAAUGCUGAACUAUUUCUUUAACAGUAGGUAUACUGAUGACAUUUUAAACACGUGCACCAUUUUAGUUUUGAAGGUAUUGAUAUGUGAUAUGAUAAGUGAUAUUUUGAUUAAAUGAUUUUUGUUUUACAAUUCAU